CAUAGUAUGUCUGAGUAUUUUCAGUUAUGCUAACAUCUGCUAAUGGCCUAAAAGGCUAGCUUUGAAUUUAGGAUUUUCAGAUUCCUCAAAGUUCUAUGGCAGAAGGUGGCAGCACCAGGAGAACCAGCCCCAGCCCGGGUUAUGCGCCAGCCAUGUCCACAUUCAUAGACCCAAGGAUGACGAUAACCACCACAGACAAAGUGGUUUCUCAGAGUGUGUACUUGGGCUGAGGCCACAUGCCUACAUUAGCCUGCUUCUAAUAGUGCCCCCACCCCCUCCGGCUGGCUCCUGGUGAAGCAGCACGAGCUGGGAAACAGAGGAGACCCUGUGGCCCAGCUGAGAAGCCCAGGUGCUCUCUAGAGGUAAAUGAGUCAAAAGGAAGUGGCCAGUUUCAUUAGCCAAAUAGGCUACUCUAGAAGUCGUAGCU
This is a long non-coding RNA of Callorhinus ursinus (northern fur seal), 427 nucleotides long. RefSeq lists it as uncharacterized. The record is from RefSeq and is a predicted model, not a curated record. NCBI's taxonomy places the organism in Eukaryota, Metazoa, Chordata, Mammalia, Carnivora, Otariidae.